RNAcentral lists this long non-coding RNA (222 nucleotides) under Elaeis guineensis (African oil palm). RNAcentral's name for it is "long non-coding RNA (EGUI_LNC001294)". The record is from RNAcentral. Lineage: Eukaryota; Viridiplantae; Streptophyta; Magnoliopsida; Arecales; Arecaceae.
ACAAAUUCAGCAAGGCCUUCCACUCAGUCCUUUCCAAAUCACCCCAAUCUGGAUUUCUGUCUUCAGGUCAGAUCCGGUCUUGGUGCGGACACCAGAGCCAUCAAAAAUCGGCAACAUGAUUUAAGUUCGAUUUGGAUUGAAGAAGCCUCAUUAAAUUGAUUCUACUUCAGUUAUUUAUUUUCAGUCAAUAAAUUUUAAUGCAUUUGGCUUUGGGUCCAUAGG